CUAGCAAGUCCAAUAUAACAAAAAGAAUUUUAGCUAAUAACCCCGAAACCAGGCGAGCUACCCUAAAGCAGCAAUAUGAGCGAACCCGUCUCUGUGGCAAAAGAGUGGGAAGACUUUAAGGUAGAGGCGACAAACCUAACGAGCCUUGAUAUAGCUGGUUACUUGAGAAUGAAUUUAAGUUCAACUAAAAGCAUCAACAACUCCUAAAGUAUAAAUAUUGCUUUUAUUUUAAUCAACUGAGGUACACCUCACUUGAUAAAGGAAACAGCCUAAAUUAAUGAGUACCGAUUAUAAUUAAUAAGGAAACAAGAUUAGUAGGCCUAAAAGCAGCCACCUUACAUAGCGUCAAAGCUUUACUUAUAAAUAACCUAAUAUUUUAAUAAAAAAUCUAAACUCACCCCAAAAAUCAAGUUAAUCUACACUAUAGAUAAACUACUACUAGAAUUAGUAACAAGAAAAAAAUUCUAAAAUACACGUGUAAAUCAGAAUGAAUAAAUCACUGAUAAUUAACUAAUACAUUUAUAUAAACAAGAAAUAUAAAACUAAAAAAUAGUUAACCCAACACAGGAGUAUUAUUAACGAUUAAAUGUCUGAAAAGGAACUCGGCAAACUAGAGAUC
Molecule: ribosomal RNA, 619 nt
Filed under: Batrachoseps major (garden slender salamander)
Lineage: Eukaryota; Metazoa; Chordata; Amphibia; Caudata; Plethodontidae
Description: partial 16S ribosomal RNA
Rfam family: Bacterial large subunit ribosomal RNA (bases 42-158)
Source: RNAcentral